GGUUACUCCAGAAACUAAUGGUCUCAAGCACCUUGACUGGUAAAUUAAUUGGCCCUUUCCAAAACCUAUACAUCAUUAACCCAGCUCAAAUGGUACCAGCACACAUGAAGGAUAUCUUGGAAGGUAAGGAUGUUAAUCUAGUCUCGCUGCUGGUUGCUUCCCAAGAUAUCCUGGAAAACAAGACCUAUUCUUAUGGCGAUGUGUCUGUUGUACUGAAGGCUUAGGACCCCAGGUUGAAUAGGAAAUUGUCUAUCCCUGAGUUUGUCCUAGCUUGUGGGAUUUAUAGGGAUGUGGUGUGUUCAGUGUAUCCACAACAUAG
Molecule: non-coding RNA, 319 nt
Organism: Pelobates cultripes (western spadefoot toad)
Lineage: Eukaryota; Metazoa; Chordata; Amphibia; Anura; Pelobatidae
Source: the annotation of a GenBank genome assembly